The sequence is a regulatory RNA element, 42 nucleotides long. It matches the Rfam family "Ribosomal protein L19 leader". Rfam says of the family: This family is a putative r-protein leader autoregulatory structure found in B. subtilis and other low-GC Gram-positive bacteria. It is located in the 5' untranslated regions of mRNAs encoding ribosomal protein L19 (rplS). The record is from Rfam.
ACGAUGUUCCGCUGCAAUACGAAAUGUUGGAAUGAGCAUCUG